GCUUGUCUCAAGACUAAGCCAUGCAUGUCUAAGUAUAAACGCUUCUAUACUGUGAAACUGCGAAUGGCUCAUUAAAUCAGUUAUAGUUUAUUUGAUGGUUCCUUACUACUUGGAUAACCGUAGUAAUUCUAGAGCUAAUACAUGCAGAAAGUCCCGACUUCUUGGAAGGGAUGUAUUUAUUAGAUCCAAAACCAGCGCGAGUUUCCUUCGGGGGCUCGGUUGCAUGGUGAUUCAUGAUAACUGCUCGAAUCGCAUGGCCUUGCGCCGGCGAUGAUCCAUUCAAAUUUCUGCCCUAUCAACUUUCGAUGGCAAGGUAGUGGCUUGCCAUGGUGACAACGGGUGACGGAGAAUUAGGGUUCGAUUCCGGAGAGGGAGCCUGAGAAACGGCUACCACAUCCAAGGAAGGCAGCAGGCGCGCAAAUUACCCAAUCCCGACUCGGGGAGGUAGUGACAAUAAAUAACAAUGCUGGGCUAUCGUAGUCUGGCAAUUGGAAUGAGUACAAUCUAAACCCCUUAACGAGGAACAAUUGGAGGGCAAGUCUGGUGCCAGCAGCCGCGGUAAUUCCAGCUCCAAUAGCGUAUAUUAAAGUUGUUGCAGUUAAAAAGCUCGUAGUUGGAUUUCGGGGCAGCCCGGCUGGUCCGUCGCGAGGCGAGUACUGGUCGGCCGCCCUUCCUCUCGAAAGCCCCGACUGCUCUUCACUGCAGUGGUCGGGGAGUUCGGGACGUUUACUUUGAAAAAAUUAGAGUGUUCAAGGCAGGCCAUCGCCUGAAUACAUUAGCAUGGAAUAAUGGAAGAGGACCUCGGUCCUAUUUUGUUGGUUUCUAGGGCCGAAGUAAUGAUUAAGAGGGACAGUUGGGGGCAUUCGUAUUUAAUUGUCAGAGGUGAAAUUCUCGGAUUUAUGAAAGACGAACAACUGCGAAAGCAUUUGCCAAGGAUGUUUUCAUUAAUCAAGAACGAAAGUUAGGG
This 967-nucleotide ribosomal RNA is filed under the name Agelas sp. KY185. RNAcentral's name for it is "SSU rRNA". It matches the Rfam family "Eukaryotic small subunit ribosomal RNA", at positions 30 to 995 of the family's 1831-position model. Lineage: Eukaryota; Metazoa; Porifera; Demospongiae; Agelasida; Agelasidae. The record is from RNAcentral.